Long non-coding RNA from Amphimedon queenslandica, 162 nucleotides. RefSeq lists it as uncharacterized. The record is from RefSeq and is a predicted model, not a curated record. The transcript has 2 exons. Lineage: Eukaryota; Metazoa; Porifera; Demospongiae; Haplosclerida; Niphatidae.
GUACUGAGACUGGGACCAACCUGUUCAACCUCAGGCCCUCUAAUGUGGCGGGUAAAUUCCUGGGAAAAGCUGGACUGAACAUGCUCCUGCACAUGGUCUUCAAAGUUGCUAAAGCCUGGCCACCCUCAGUUGUACUCAUAGGCCACUGUGAGAGAACUUUUA